RNAcentral lists this long non-coding RNA (1024 nucleotides) under Homo sapiens (human). RNAcentral's name for it is "HSALNT0020645". The record is from RNAcentral. Lineage: Eukaryota; Metazoa; Chordata; Mammalia; Primates; Hominidae.
UGCCUUUUCAACAUGGAUGGCUCCUCCCGCUGCCGCUGCCGCUCCAGGAGACAGCAUUACAGAGCAUCAGUUAGGUGCAGAGACUGGGCAGUGCACCCGUGUGCAAAGACAGGAGACACGAAUCUUCCCUGAAGGAGUGACAGUCUAGGGAGGAAGGCAGACUGCAGGUUCCCAUGCAGGAAUGAAAGACAUGGAAGGGAAGAGGGGGGCCAGCUCCCUGAGUCCUGUGUCCACCAGCUGCUGCUAAAUACCUCUGAGAAACUCUGCUUCUAUCUAAGGGGACCUACUUCUCUCGGGAAUCUCAAUACUUGGAACAAGAACCUCCUAGACGGACCCUUUGGCAUAAUGAAUUGGACCAACUGUAGGUUCCAGGACUAGAGAGCCAGCAAUGCCUCCAUGAACAAUCUCACCCAAUUACUCUGCUCAGGAAACGAGGUAACUGAUGGACAGCCGAGGCAGCCCCUUAGGCGGCUUAGGCCUCCCCUGUGGAGCAUCCCUGAGGCGGACUCCGGCCAGCCCGAGUGACGCGAUCCAAAGAGCACUCCCGGGUAGGAAAUUGCCCCGGUGGAAUGCCUCACCAGAGCAGCGUGUAGCAGUUCCCUGUGGAGGAUUAACACAGUGGCUGAACACCGGGAAGGAACUGGCACUUGGAGUCCGGACAUCUGAAACUUGAGAACAUCACCACCCUGAAGCCAGAGACUAACACUGCAGGACUCAGCAGGACUAUUUAAGAAACAACUGAGGCAUCAGACCAACUUUCCCCACAAGUCCUCGGAUCUUUCCUGCCAUGCUGAUGCCAUAUAUUCCAACGUGAUCAACCUGGCUCCCCAGAAGGAGGACGACUUUGCUGUCUACACCAACAUGCCCCCUUUUCAUCACCCCAGGAGGACAUUGCCAGACCAAGUGGAAUAUGUCUCCAUUGUAUUCCACUGAUGGGAAGCUAAUGAGAUGCUCAGAGUGGGGGUCAGACCUGGCCCCAGCUGAAUCUUGGCAUACCCUUUGCUUUAGAUUUAUGUGUGUGUUU